RNAcentral lists this ribosomal RNA (421 nucleotides) under uncultured Dorea sp. Its description in RNAcentral is "bacterial SSU rRNA". It matches the Rfam family "Bacterial small subunit ribosomal RNA", at positions 355 to 792 of the family's 1533-position model. The record is from RNAcentral. Lineage: Bacteria; Bacillati; Bacillota; Clostridia; Lachnospirales; Lachnospiraceae.
UGGGGAAUAUUGCACAAUGGAGGAAACUCUGAUGCAGCGACGCCGCGUGAGCGAUGAAGUAUUUCGGUAUGUAAAGCUCUAUCAGCAGGGAAGAUAAUGACGGUACCUGAGUAAGAAGCUCCGGCUAAAUACGUGCCAGCAGCCGCGGUAAUACGUAUGGGGCAAGCGUUAUCCGGAUUUACUGGGUGUAAAGGGAGCGUAGACGGCUGUGCAAGUCUGAAGUGAAAGGCAUGGGCUCAACCUGUGGACUGCUUUGGAAACUGUGCAGCUAGAGUGUCGGAGAGGUAAGUGGAAUUCCUAGUGUAGCGGUGAAAUGCGUAGAUAUUAGGAGGAACACCAGUGGCGAAGGCGGCUUACUGGACGAUGACUGACGUUGAGGCUCGAAAGCGUGGGGAGCAAACAGGAUUAGAUACCCUGGGUA